GUUGGGGGGUGGGGAGGAUCUAUCAGGCACACCCGAUUCAGGUCCUUUAAUGAGCCUCUGGGUUCAUCUCAGGUAUCUACUAGUCUCCAGAAAAGAGAGAGCAGGAGUUCCCAGUGGCGGUUCUGACACGGCUCGAGCGCCGGGGACACGCACGGCAGACUACCCCAGACGCCUCAAGGCUGCGCGCGAAGACUCGGCGCAGACAGACGCACAGAUGGGGCUCCCCCACCCUGGACACGGAGGCGGACGGCUGGGAAGCCCAGGAACCCUCAGACCUAGGGAAGGGCGAGUCUUAAAGGAGACGCUCCAUGCUGAAGGUUAGACCGUGGGAAUCUGAGAGAAUCUCUCCCUCUUCGCCAGAAUGUGAGAUUCAGAGCGAGAAGCGGGUGAAGUUUUGUGGAAAGAAUGAAAAUAGGACUCAGUGGAGAAAGGAUCGCAGUGUGUGGUAUCCUAUACUCCCUUUUCCAACCACAUACGCCCACACUCAUAGGGACGUGCUUCU
Non-coding RNA from Ictidomys tridecemlineatus (thirteen-lined ground squirrel), 502 nucleotides. The record is from RefSeq and is a predicted model, not a curated record. Lineage: Eukaryota; Metazoa; Chordata; Mammalia; Rodentia; Sciuridae.